UACGGGGGGGGCAAGCGUUGUUCGGAAUUACUGGGCGUAAAGGGCGUGUAGGCGGCCAACUAAGUCCGACGUGAAAUCCCCAGGCUUAACCUGGGAACUGCGUCGGAUACUGGAUGGCUUGAAUCCGGGAGAGGGAUGCAGAAUUCCAGGUGUAGCGGUGAAAUGCGUAGAUAUCUGGAGGAAUACCGGUGGCGAAGGCGGCAUCCUGGACCGAGGAUUGACGCUGAGGCGCGAAAGCCAGGGGAGCAAAGCGGG
Molecule: ribosomal RNA, 255 nt
Filed under: uncultured bacterium
Lineage: Bacteria
Description: partial 16S ribosomal RNA
Rfam family: Bacterial small subunit ribosomal RNA
Source: RNAcentral